This 1178-nucleotide ribosomal RNA is filed under the name Monothalamids sp. RNAcentral's name for it is "SSU rRNA". It matches the Rfam family "Eukaryotic small subunit ribosomal RNA", at positions 1160 to 1828 of the family's 1831-position model. Lineage: Eukaryota; Foraminifera. The record is from RNAcentral.
AAGGGCACCACAAGAACGCGUGGAGCAUGUGGCUUAAUUUGACUCAACGCGGGAAAUCUUACCGGGUCCGGACACACUGAGGAUUGACAGGCAAUAUUAUUUAAUAUUUGAAGACUUCUUCGGAAGUUGGAAGAUAUUUUAUAUGUAAAUAUGCUAGUCCUUUCAUGAUUAUGUGAUAGGUGGUGCAUGGCCGUUCUUAGUUCGUGGAGUGAUCUGUCUGCUUAAUUGCGUUUCACUAAGGGUUUAUCAAUACGUAUGUUUGCUCGCAUUUAUGACCCCCCUUGCUUUCUUUUACUUUUUCUUCGGAAAUUGUUUCUGAUGGCUUGGCUGCGUGAGUCAUUUAUGUUUCAAGCGCAUACAAUUAAGCCCUGAAAGCAACGAACGUGACCGCAACCUCUUGUUGCCUCUAAUUUACUAUGGUUUUCUUUUGAGAUCAUUUUAUCUUCGGAUAUUUUGUUUCUUUUUGAAUUCCUAAAAAAGAGGCUUUAAAACUAGAGGGACCGCUGUAACUUUUUUAAACCAGAGGAAGGUUGCGGCAAUAACAGGUCUGUGAUGCCCUUAGAUGUUCCGGGCUGCACACGUGCUACAAUGAUUAUUGCAGUGAGCAUCUCAUAUAUAACACCGCUGAACAAAGUUUCGUGAUGUAUUUUCAUUACUAUAAAGCUUUGGUUAACUCGAAUUAUCCUCGGAUUUUUUGGGAAGGCCUUUGUCUUUUUGUUUUGGGAUUGUCACGUUUUUGUACUCGGUUAAGCCUGCUUCGAAAGUAAGUAGGUAAUCAAUUAGAAGUAAUGAUUUCCCAAGUUUUAGCACAAUUAUAUGCGGCGUCUUUACCCAGGAUGGGCUUGUCUUAUCCUUGUGCGUAUUGAUGUUUUUCCGCAUGUGCUUUUGUCAAUUCAAGGUGGGGACAGACCAUUGUUAAUUGUUGGUCUCGGUCUUAACUAGGAAUGCCUUGUACGGGUCUUUGGUUCAACAAACCACCCGGAAUACGUCCCUGCCCUUUGUACACACCGCCCGUCGCUCUUACCGAUGGACUUCUCUGUGAGUUUGAGGGACUGGAUACCUAAAGUGUUUUCUUCGGAUUGCAUUUUUACCAUCUAUGGAAACUUAAACGAACAGUGUGGUCUAAAGGAAAGAGAAGUCGUAACAAGGCAUCGGUAGGUGAACCUGCAGAAGGAUCA